Molecule: unclassified non-coding RNA, 286 nt
Filed under: Hevea brasiliensis (rubber tree)
Lineage: Eukaryota; Viridiplantae; Streptophyta; Magnoliopsida; Malpighiales; Euphorbiaceae
Source: RNAcentral
CGAGGAUUGGCGAAGUGAGUGAAGAUGAGAUACAGGAAGCUGGGAAUGAUAGCGACGUCGAUGGGAAUUUGGACUCACAAGCAACUUGGGUGCCUGGAAAACGGCAUGUCGAUGAGGAUGAUGCUUCCAUAUCAUGGAGGAAAAGGAAGAAGCAUUUCUUUAUAUUGAGUCACUCUGGGAAACCCAUAUAUUCCAGAUACGGUGAUGAGCACAAGCUAGCUGGAUUUUCAGCAACAUUGCAAGCCAUUAUUUCCUUCGUGGAGAAUGGGGGGGAUCGUGUCAAAUU